UGAAUACGAGACGCUAAGGCGUCGAAGUAGUGUAUGUCAUACUUCCAAGAAAAGCUUGCACUGUCAUAAGUAAAAAAUGCCUGUACCAUAACCGACACAGGUGGGUAGGUAGAGUAUACUAAGGGGCGCGAGAUAACUCUCUCUAAGGAACUCGGCAAAAUAACUCCGUAACUUCGGGAGAAGGAGUACCUUAUUCUAUAAGGUUGCAAUAACAAGAUCCAAGCAACUGUUUAUCAAAAACACAGGUCUCCGCUAAGUCGUAAGACGAUGUAUGGGGGCUGACGCCUGCCCAGUGCCAGAAGGUUAAAGAAGUCGGUUAGCAUUAGCGAAGCUGGUAACUGAAGCCCUGGUGAACGGCGGCCGUAACAAUAACGGUCCUAAGGUAGCGAAAUUCCUUGUCGGGUAAGUUCCGACCCGCACGAAAGGCGUAAUGAUUUGGAUACUGUCUCGGAGAGGGGCUCGGUGAAAUAGACUUGUCUGUGAAGAUGCGGACUACCUGCACCAGGACAGAAAGACCCUAUGAAGCUUUACUGUAACUUGAAAUUGAAAUUGGACUUUAUUCGCGCAGUAUAGGUGGGAGGUGUUGAUUAUAAUCUUGCGGGAUUAUUGGAGCCAUCAGUGAGAUACCACUCUUGUAAUGUUAGAUUUCUAACUUUGAAUCAUUAUCUGGUCAAAGGACAGUUUCAGGCGGGCAGUUUGACUGGGGCGGUCGCCUCCCAAACGGUAACGGAGGCGUACAAAGGUUUCCUCUGAACGGGUAGAAAUCGUAUCUAGAGUGUAAAGGCAUAAGGAAGCUUGACUGUGAGACCUACAAGUCGAACAGGGACGAAAGUCGGUCUUAGUGAUCUGACGGUACUGAGUGGAAAGGCCGUCACUCAACGGAUAAAAGUUACUCUAGGAUAACAGGCUGAUCUCCCCCAAGAGUUCACAUCGACGGGGAGGUUUGGCACCUGGAUGUCGGCUCAUCGCAUCCUGGGGCGGCAGUACGUCCCAAGGGUUGGGCUGUUCGCCCAUGAAAGCGGUACGCGAGCUGGGUUCAGAACGUCGUGAGACAGUUCGGUCCAUAUCCGGUGUAGGCGUUAGAAUAUUGAGAGGAGCCUUCUUUAGUACGAGAGGACCGAGAAGGACAUACCUCUGGUGUACCAGUUAUCGUGCCAACGGUAAACGCUGGGUAGCUAUGUAUGGAGUGGAUAACCGCUGAAAGCAUCUAAGUGGGAAGCCCACCUCAAGAUAAGUAUUCC
This 1241-nucleotide ribosomal RNA is filed under the name metagenome. Its description in RNAcentral is "bacterial LSU rRNA". It matches the Rfam family "Bacterial large subunit ribosomal RNA", at positions 1564 to 2814 of the family's 2925-position model. The record is from RNAcentral.